AUCGCUUCUCGGCCUUUUGGCUAAGAUCAAGUGUAGUAUCUAUUUAAUUCACAAAAUUGUAUCUCCUUUUAAUGAUGUGAAAUAUACAACAGUUUUAUAGUUUUCACAUAAUAGGGCUAAUAUUG
Molecule: small nuclear RNA, 125 nt
Organism: Rattus norvegicus (Norway rat)
Lineage: Eukaryota; Metazoa; Chordata; Mammalia; Rodentia; Muridae
Product: U2 spliceosomal RNA
Source: Ensembl